Molecule: ribosomal RNA, 487 nt
Filed under: Fusarium oxysporum
Lineage: Eukaryota; Fungi; Ascomycota; Sordariomycetes; Hypocreales; Nectriaceae
Description: eukaryotic LSU rRNA
Rfam family: 5.8S ribosomal RNA (bases 131-284)
Source: RNAcentral
AACCCCUGUGAACAUACCACUUGUUGCCUCGGCGGAUCAGCCCGCUCCCGGUAAAACGGGACGGCCCGCCAGAGGACCCCUAAACUCUGUUUCUAUAUGUAACUUCUGAGUAAAACCAUAAAUAAAUCAAAACUUUCAACAACGGAUCUCUUGGUUCUGGCAUCGAUGAAGAACGCAGCAAAAUGCGAUAAGUAAUGUGAAUUGCAGAAUUCAGUGAAUCAUCGAAUCUUUGAACGCACAUUGCGCCCGCCAGUAUUCUGGCGGGCAUGCCUGUUCGAGCGUCAUUUCAACCCUCAAGCACAGCUUGGUGUUGGGACUCGCGUUAAUUCGCGUUCCCCAAAUUGAUUGGCGGUCACGUCGAGCUUCCAUAGCGUAGUAGUAAAACCCUCGUUACUGGUAAUCGUCGCGGCCACGCCGUUAAACCCCAACUUCUGAAUGUUGACCUCGGAUCAGGUAGGAAUACCCGCUGAACUUAAGCAUAUCAAUA